AGACGCAGGGUAUAACAUCUUGUUCAUUGCACUGCCUCAAGCCCACAGUGUAGAAACGUGGACUUGUAAAAUUAAAAAAUGCUUUAACAUAAACAUAGAAGCACAACAACUGAAACGUACAAAGCUCCUACGUGUAACUGUGUUGUAAGAGUUUAAUUGCUACUUCAUCCUGGAAUAGGUUGGAUCUAGGGAAAAGACAUAAAGAAGGCACUGCUGUGAAAAACGUCAGUGGCUGGCUGUCCAUAAAAGGCUAUAAAUUAGCCCUUUACAAUUUUGGAAAUUCA
RNAcentral lists this long non-coding RNA (284 nucleotides) under Struthio camelus australis. Its description in RNAcentral is "lncRNA (ENSSCUG00000006392.1)". Lineage: Eukaryota; Metazoa; Chordata; Aves; Struthioniformes; Struthionidae. The record is from RNAcentral.